CUCGGCCUCAGAUCAGACAAGGCUACCCGCUGAAUUUAAGCAUAUUAAUAAGCGGAGGAAAAGAAACUAACAAGGAUUCCCCCAGUAACGGCGAGUGAAGCGGGAUCAGCUCAAAUUUAAAAUCUCCGUUGCUUGCAACGGCGAAUUGUAGUUUCGAGAAGCGCUUUCUAGGCGGACCGGCUGCGCCUAAGUUGCUUGGAACAGCACGUCAUAGAGGGUGACAACCCCGUCUGUGGCGUAGGCGGCCGCUCACGAUGUGCUUUCGAAGAGUCGGGUUGUUUGGGAAUGCAGCCCAAAAUGGGUGGUAAACUCCAUCUAAAGCUAAAUAUUGGCACGAGACCGAUAGCGAACAAGUACCGUGAGGGAAAGAUGAAAAGGACUUUGGAAAGAGAGUUAAAAAGUACGUGAAACCGUUAAAAGGGAAACGAAUGGAGCUAGCAAUGCACCCAGCGAGAUUCAGCUGGUUGGUGGCUCGGCCGCGAUGUUUGCAGAUCUGAAUUGACUGCGGCUUUGCGGUUCGAACUCCCUGCCAUCGCACUUCUCGCGGGCGCGCGUCAACAUGGGUUGGGACCGGGUCUAAACGGCACCGGCAAGGUAGGUCCGCACCUCCGGGUACGUACUGUUCUAGGCCGGCGCUCUCGCGGCCCGGACCCGACCGAGGCGAUGCAGCACAUGCCUCUUGUGGCUGGAGUCCCGUUCUUCCGGUUGGUUGUCGACUGUGGUGGACUGCGUGCAGUGCACCGCGACUGCUGCCGGUCGCUUGGGCGGCGACUUCGCAAGAUGUGCUUAGGAUGUUGGCGGUCAUAUGGCUUCAUCCGACCCGUCUUGAAACACGGACCAAGGAGUCUACCAUAUGCGCGAGUCUUUGGGUGAUUGAAACCCGCGGGCACAAUGAAAGUGAAGGCGGCUCCGGCCUGCCGAGGUGAGAACCUCCCCUCACGGGGUGGCGCAUCAUCGACCGACCUAUUCUACUCUUAGGAAGGUUUGAGUAAGAGCGCAUUUGUUGGGACCCGAAAGAUGGUGAACUAUGCCUGAAUAGGGUGAAGCCAGAGGAAACUCUGGUGGAGGCUCGUAGCGAUUCUGACGUGCAAAUCGAUCGUCAAAUUUGGGUAUAGGGGCGAAAGACUAAUCGAACUGUCUAGUAGCUGGUUCCCUCCGAAGUUUCCCUCAGGAUAGCAGGAGCUCUGUGCAGUUUUAUCAGGUAAAGCGAAUGAUUAGAGGUCUUAGGGUUAAAACAACCUUAACCUAUUCUCAAACUUUAAAUUGGUAAGAAGUCCGACUUGCUCGAUUGAAGCCGGACGUGGAAUGCGAGUUCCUAGUGGGCCAUUUUUGGUAAGCAGAACUGGCGAUGCGGGAUGAACCGAACGCCGAGUUAAGGUGCCAAAGUCGACGCUCAUCAGACCCCACAAAAGGUGUUGGUUGCUAUAGACAGCAGGACGGUGGCCAUGGAAGUCGGAAUCCGCUAAGGAGUGUGUAACAACUCACCUGCCGAAGCAACUAGCCCUGAAAAUGGAUGGCGCUCAAGCGUCGCACCUAUACUCGGCCGUCGGGGCAAACGCGAAGCCCCGACGAGUAGGAGGGCGUGGGGGUCGUGACGCAGCCUUUGGCGUGAGCCUGGGUGAAACGGCCUCUAGUGCAGAUCUUGGUGGUAGUAGCAAAUAUUCAAAUGAGAGCUUUGAAGACCGAAGUGGAGAAAGGUUCCAUGUGAACAGCAGUUGGACAUGGGUUAGUCGAUCCUAAGAGAUAGGGAAACUCCGUUUGAAAGUGCCCAAUUGCGGGCCGCCUAUCGAAAGGGAAUCGGGUUAAUAUUCCCGAACCGGAACACGGAUAUCGCCACCUAGUGGCGGAUGCGGUAACGCAACCGAACCCGGAGACGCCGGCGGGAGCCCUGGGAAGAGUUCUCUUUUCUUUUUAACGGACUUUCACCCUGAAAUCAGCUUGCCUGGAGAUAGGGUUUAAUGUCCGGUAA
This 1969-nucleotide ribosomal RNA is filed under the name Bathypathes sp. n. 3 NB-2020. RNAcentral describes it as "partial 28S ribosomal RNA". It matches the Rfam family "Eukaryotic large subunit ribosomal RNA", at positions 1 to 1761 of the family's 3401-position model. Lineage: Eukaryota; Metazoa; Cnidaria; Anthozoa; Antipatharia; Schizopathidae. The record is from RNAcentral.